This 492-nucleotide ribosomal RNA is filed under the name uncultured bacterium. RNAcentral describes it as "partial 16S ribosomal RNA". It matches the Rfam family "Bacterial small subunit ribosomal RNA", at positions 29 to 507 of the family's 1533-position model. The record is from RNAcentral.
AGUGAACGCUGGCGGUAGGCCUAACACAUGCAAGUCGAACGGCAGCACAGUAAGAGCUUGCUCUUACGGGUGGCGAGUGGCGGACGGGUGAGGAAUACAUCGGAAUCUACUUUUUCGUGGGGGAUAACGUAGGGAAACUUACGCUAAUACCGCAUACGACCUACGGGUGAAAGCAGGGGAGCUUCGGACCUUGCGCGAUUGAAUGAGACGAUGUCGGAUUAGCUAGUUGGCGGGGUAAAGGCCCACCAAGGCGACGAUCCGUAGCUGGUCUGAGAGGAUGAUCAGCCACACCGGAACUGAGACACGGUCCAGACUCCUACGGGAGGCAGCAGUGGGGAAUAUUGGACAAUGGGCGCAAGCCUGAUCCAGCCAUACCGCGUGGGUGAAGAAGGCCUUCGGGUUGUAAAGCCCUUUUGUUGGGAAAGAAAAGCAGCAUGUUAAUCCCCCGCUGUUCUGACGGUACCCAAAGAAUAAGCACCGGCUAACUUCGUG